GUACUACACUAGGGGAGCUAGAACGGCUAGCUGAGAAAAAGACCUUUAUCUUUAACCCUUUAAACCUGAUCUGGAUAAAACCAGCGUAGGAAAGUGUGUCUAUUUUCAA
This 109-nucleotide non-coding RNA is filed under the name Desulfonispora thiosulfatigenes. Its description in RNAcentral is "TPP sequence". It matches the Rfam family "TPP riboswitch aptamer (THI element)". Rfam says of the family: Vitamin B(1) in its active form thiamin pyrophosphate (TPP) is an essential coenzyme that is synthesised by coupling of pyrimidine and thiazole moieties in bacteria. Lineage: Bacteria; Bacillati; Bacillota; Clostridia; Eubacteriales; Peptococcaceae. The record is from RNAcentral. RNAcentral also lists the same sequence under 1 other name.